UGUGGAAGAUGCUACUGGAGACAACAGGUUCCUCCAGGCCUGAUUGCUUGGUCAAUUGUGAAUCACCUUUGAUGAAACAUACUCCGGCAUAAGAUGAGCCAGCGUGUGGCACCUGGCAUUUCAUUAAACAAUUGCACUGACUUAGAGGAUGCCCAGGAACCCAGACCACUACAUACACCAAAUCUCUUUUCUGAAAAUCCAUGGAGAAAUUUUUCCAGAGCUCACGCUGGCCCCAAACAAGGGGCUCCAAAGGGUUAUGGAAAACGACCUGGAGAGUUAGAUAUGCUGACAACGAAGGAUAUCCAGGAUUCCUUGUGGAGCGAAAAAAGGAAAAUGCACAGGAUGAACAACAUGAUCUCAUUUGUGUAAAAGCAAAACAAGAAAGCACCUAUGUAACUGUGAGAAAGCUGUUUUUAUCUGUCCAGUGUGUCUCUCUCCCAAGCCCUAUCUCCUUUCUGAUCCUGUCUUCUUGCCUAUGGGGAACCUUGUAUGUUUUGGAGUGAACUGACUCCAUCUUCCCCCCAGGCUGAGCAUGUAACUAAGUCCUGGCCAAUCAGUGAAAUCCUGACUGUUUGGUGAGACGUGUCAGGAAUGCCUUGUUCCUUCCCCUGAGGUUGCUCGGCUGGUGAUGCUGACAGAGCCAGACUGCUGUCAUGAGGAAAAUGCCUGAAUGUGAAGCAAGCAGAAGCAGGAUCAAGAACCACAGACAGAGGCCUGAUGGGGCUCGUUGAACCCCUGCAGCCAGCUGCUCUUAAUUACCCAAUUCAUGGUAUUAGCUUUUCAGUGUGUGUUGGAGGGUGGGGGAGAGUCUUAACUGGGUUUAAGCUGUAUUUCUGCAAUUCUCUGUGGAAAAUUUCCUGACACAAGAAUACUAAAAGAGCGAUGCAACGUGACUGGCUUUGAGAAUGGAUGGAAGGAGCCAAGAGCCAAGGAAUGCAGGCAGCUUCCAGAAGCUGGAAAAGGCGCGCACUCUCCCUAAAGGUUCCAGGAAGGAAUGCAGCCCUGCGGACCCAUACUGGACUCCUACCUACAGAACUAAUACCCACUUGGAAAAGAGAAGAAGUACAUACCCCUUCAUCUUAGGUCAUGUCUUUUUCUGAGGUCCUAUUUCAGUAGUACAGACGCCUCUGAGCUGAAGAGAGGUAAAGAAAAGAACAUGCUGUCUCGCACACAAAAUCUUUGACUGACCACCAGCCACCUCCCAGUAUCUGGAGAAAUUCUGGCCUCACGAACUGUCCGCAAAGCUUUGAGUGAUAAAGUCCUGCAGAAACUUUAAGAGCAACUAACUCUCCCAGGGCAUGCCAACGAUACUUGAUUUAAAGCAUAACAGGCCCCAUCACUGACUUCAACUACUCACCACCCGGU
Molecule: long non-coding RNA, 1365 nt
Filed under: Homo sapiens (human)
Lineage: Eukaryota; Metazoa; Chordata; Mammalia; Primates; Hominidae
Description: HSALNT0073965
Source: RNAcentral